This 889-nucleotide ribosomal RNA is filed under the name uncultured bacterium. RNAcentral describes it as "bacterial SSU rRNA". It matches the Rfam family "Bacterial small subunit ribosomal RNA", at positions 504 to 1398 of the family's 1533-position model. The record is from RNAcentral.
CGUGCCAGCAGCCGCGGUAAUACGUAGGUGGCAAGCGUUGUCCGGAAUUACUGGGUGUAAAGGGAGCGUAGGCGGGAAGGUAAGUUGAAUGUGAAAUCUAUGGGCUCAACCCAUAGGCUGCGUUCAAAACUAUCUUUCUUGAGUGAAGUAGAGGUAGGCGGAAUUCCUAGUGUAGCGGUGAAAUGCGUAGAUAUUAGGAGGAACACCAGUGGCGAAGGCGGCCUACUGGGCUUUAACUGACGCUGAGGCUCGAAAGCGUGGGUAGCAAACAGGAUUAGAUACCCUGGUAGUCCACGCUGUAAACGAUGAUUACUAGGUGUGGGGGGUUUAACCCCUCCCGUGCCGGAGUUAACACAAUAAGUAAUCCACCUGGGGAGUACGAUCGCAAGAUUGAAACUCAAAGGAAUUGACGGGGGCCCGCACAAGCAGUGGAGUAUGUGGUUUAAUUCGAAGCAACGCGAAGAACCUUACCAGGUCUUGACAUCCCAAGAAAGCAUCAGAGAUGAAGCCGUGCCCUUCGGGGAAUUUGGUGACAGGUGGUGCAUGGUUGUCGUCAGCUCGUGUCGUGAGAUGUUGGGUUAAGUCCCGCAACGAGCGCAACCCUUAUUGUUAGUUGCUACGCAAGAGCACUCUAGCAAGACUGCCGUUGAUAAAACGGAGGAAGGUGGGGAUGACGUCAAAUCAUCAUGCCCCUUAUGACCUGGGCUACACACGUAUUACAAUGGCUAUUAACAAAGUGAAGCAAAGCCGUGAGGUGGAGCAAAACACAAAAAAUAGUCUCAGUUCGGAUUGUAGGCUGCAACUCGCCUACAUGAAGCCGGAAUUGCUAGUAAUCGCGGAUCAGCAUGCCGCGGUGAAUACGUUCCCGGGCUUGUACACACCGCCCGUC